ACAAUGAAGAGUUUGAUCCUGGCUCAGGAUGAACGCUAGCUACAGGCUUAACACAUGCAAGUCGAGGGGCAUCAGGAAGAAAGCUUGCUUUCUUUGCUGGCGACCGGCGCACGGGUGAGUAACACGUAUCCAACCUGCCCUUUACUCGGGGAUAGCCUUUCGAAAGAAAGAUUAAUACCCGAUAGCAUAAUGAUUCCGCAUGGUUUCAUUAUUAAAGGAUUCCGGUAAAGGAUGGGGAUGCGUUCCAUUAGGUUGUUGGUGAGGUAACGGCUCACCAAGCCUUCGAUGGAUAGGGGUUCUGAGAGGAAGGUCCCCCACAUUGGAACUGAGACACGGUCCAAACUCCUACGGGAGGCAGCAGUGAGGAAUAUUGGUCAAUGGGCGGUAGCCUGAACCAGCCAAGUAGCGUGAAGGAUGAAGGCUCUAUGGGUCGUAAACUUCUUUUAUAUAAGAAUAAAGUGCAGUAUGUAUACUGUUUUGUAUGUAUUAUAUGAAUAAGGAUCGGCUAACUCCGUGCCAGCAGCCGCGGUAAUACGGAGGAUCCGAGCGUUAUCCGGAUUUAUUGGGUUUAAAGGGAGCGUAGGUGGACUGGUAAGUCAGUUGUGAAAGUUUGCGGCUCAACCGUAAAAUUGCAGUUGAUACUGUCAGUCUUGAGUACAGUAGAGGUGGGCGGAAUUCGUGGUGUAGCGGUGAAAUGCUUAGAUAUCACGAAGAACUCCGAUUGCGAAGGCAGCUCACUGGACUGCAACUGACACUGAUGCUCGAAAGUGUGGGUAUCAAACAGGAUUAGAUACCCUGGUAGUCCACACAGUAAACGAUGAAUACUCGCUGUUUGCGAUAUACAGUAAGCGGCCAAGCGAAAGCAUUAAGUAUUCCACCUGGGGAGUACGCCGGCAACGGUGAAACUCAAAGGAAUUGACGGGGGCCCGCACAAGCGGAGGAACAUGUGGUUUAAUUCGAUGAUACGCGAGGAACCUUACCCGGGCUUAAAUUGCAGUGGAAUGAUGUGGAAACAUGUCAGUGAGCAAUCACCGCUGUGAAGGUGCUGCAUGGUUGUCGUCAGCUCGUGCCGUGAGGUGUCGGCUUAAGUGCCAUAACGAGCGCAACCCUUAUCUUUAGUUACUAACAGGUCAUGCUGAGGACUCUAGAGAGACUGCCGUCGUAAGAUGUGAGGAAGGUGGGGAUGACGUCAAAUCAGCACGGCCCUUACGUCCGGGGCUACACACGUGUUACAAUGGGGGGGUACAGAAGGCAGCUAGCGGGUGACCGUAUGCUAAUCCCAAAAGCCUCUCUCAGUUCGGAUCGAAGUCUGCAACCCGACUUCGUGAAGCUGGAUUCGCUAGUAAUCGCGCAUCAGCCACGGCGCGGUGAAUACGUUCCCGGGCCUUGUACACACCGCCCGUCAAGCCAUGGGAGCCGGGGGUACCUGAAGUACGUAACCGCAAGGAUCGUCCUAGGGUAAAACUGGUGACUGGGGCUAAGUCGUAACAAGGUAGCCGUACCGGAAGGUGCGGCUGGAACACCUCCUUU
RNAcentral lists this ribosomal RNA (1530 nucleotides) under Bacteroides fragilis. RNAcentral's name for it is "bacterial SSU rRNA". It matches the Rfam family "Bacterial small subunit ribosomal RNA". The record is from RNAcentral. Lineage: Bacteria; Pseudomonadati; Bacteroidota; Bacteroidia; Bacteroidales; Bacteroidaceae.